UAAUAAGUGUUUUAUGGCACUUUUUAAAUCCAUAUCACCUUGUGUGCAAUGUCGGUCGAUCUUCUUCAUGGAGAUCGACCAAACAUCAACCUUUAUCUUUUAACUCUUUGUCUGAAAAAUAUUAUGAAUAAACAAUUCAAAAUA
This 144-nucleotide unclassified non-coding RNA is filed under the name soil metagenome. Its description in RNAcentral is "partial internal transcribed spacer 1". The record is from RNAcentral.